This 460-nucleotide ribosomal RNA is filed under the name uncultured bacterium. Its description in RNAcentral is "partial 16S ribosomal RNA". It matches the Rfam family "Bacterial small subunit ribosomal RNA", at positions 338 to 795 of the family's 1533-position model. The record is from RNAcentral.
CCUACGGGAGGCUGCAGUGAGGAAUAUUGGUCAAUGGGCGCUAGCCUGAACCAGCCAAGUAGCGUGAAGGAUGACUGCCCUAUGGAUUGUAAACUUCUUUUGUAUGGGAAUAAAGUGCAGUAUGUAUACUGCUUUGCAUGUACCUUAUGAAUAAGGAUCGGCUAACUCCGUGCCAGCAGCCGCGGUAAUACGGAGGAUCCGAGCGUUAUCCGGAUUUAUUGGGUUUAAAGGGAGCGUAGGCGGGUUGUUAAGUCAGUUGUGAAAGUUUGCGGCUCAACCGUAAAAUUGCCGUUGAUACUGGCAGCCUUGAGUACAGUAGAGGUAGGCGGAAUUCGUGGUGUAGCGGUGAAAUGCUUAGAUAUCACGAAGAACUCCGAUUGCGAAGGCAGCCUGCUGGACUGUAACUGACGCUGAGGCUCGAAAGUGUGGGUAUCAAACAGGAUUAGAUACCCGUGUAGUC